AACGAACGCUGGCGGCAUGCCUAACACAUGCAAGUCGAACGAGAUCUUCGGGUCUAGUGGCGCACGGGUGCGUAACGCGUGGGAAUCUGCCCUUUGGUUCGGAAUAACAGUUGGAAACGACUGCUAAUACCGGAUGAUGACGAAAGUCCAAAGAUUUAUCGCCAGAGGAUGAGCCCGCGUAGGAUUAGCUAGCUGGUGUGGUAAAGUCGCACCAAGGCGACGAUCCUUAGCUGGUCUGAGAGGAUGAUCUGCCACACUGGGACUGAGACACGGCCCAGACCCCUACGUGAGGCAGCAGUGGGGAAUAUUGGACAAUGGGCGAAAGCCUGAUCCAGCAAUGCCGCGUGAGUGAUGAAGGCCUUAGGGUUGUAAAGCUCUUUUACCCGGGAUGAUAAUGACAGUACCGGGAGAAUAAGCUCCGGCUAACUCCGUGCCAGCCGCCGCCGUAA
Molecule: ribosomal RNA, 449 nt
Filed under: uncultured bacterium
Lineage: Bacteria
Description: partial 16S ribosomal RNA
Rfam family: Bacterial small subunit ribosomal RNA
Source: RNAcentral